GCUUUUAGAUAGUUUUCAGUAACUGCGAGUACGUUUUUUGAGUUUAACCAAGGCAACUAAAUUUUAGUUUGUUUUAUAUUGUACUGUUAAAUAACUGUCCCAGGUCAGAGGACGGUAGAGCGCUCAUAAACUUGUUUUAAAUCACCCAUAUACCUAAUUUGCAUGUCGCAAGUCAGAAAUCUGUAGUGCAGUGGUUGUCGUUGGUGUGUGUCAUAUUUGUUUUUCGUAAAUUUUCUUUUUUUAGUAGACCGUAAAUUUCUGGUUUGAAUUGUUUCCCAUUUUUCAUAUCGGUGGCUGAAUUUUUGUCUCAUGUGCAAUCAACCACAUCUCCUUAUUUAAUACAUUCUAUAUUGAACCGAAUUGUAAAAGAAAAGGAAUAUAGAAUACAAAUACAAAUUGUAAACUGUUUUACUCAGUUUGUUUUUACGAACUCAAGUAGUGCUUCUUUUUU
Molecule: long non-coding RNA, 451 nt
Filed under: Mytilus galloprovincialis (Mediterranean mussel)
Lineage: Eukaryota; Metazoa; Mollusca; Bivalvia; Mytilida; Mytilidae
Source: RNAcentral